This 438-nucleotide ribosomal RNA is filed under the name uncultured bacterium. RNAcentral describes it as "bacterial SSU rRNA". It matches the Rfam family "Bacterial small subunit ribosomal RNA", at positions 954 to 1392 of the family's 1533-position model. The record is from RNAcentral.
GCACAACGCGAAGAACCUUACCUACUCUUGACAUCCACGGAACUUUUCAGAGAUGAAUUGGUGCCUUCGGGAACCGUGAGACAGGUGCUGCAUGGCUGUCGUCAGCUCGUGUUGUGAAAUGUUGGGUUAAGUCCCGCAACGAGCGCAACCCUUAUCCUUUGUUGCCAGCGGUUAGGCCGGGAACUCAAAGGAGACUGCCAGUGAUAAACUGGAGGAAGGUGGGGAUGACGUCAAGUCAUCAUGGCCCUUACGAGUAGGGCUACACACGUGCUACAAUGGCGCAUACAAAGAGAAGCGACCUCGCGAGAGCAAGCGGACCUCAUAAAGUGCGUCGUAGUCCGGAUUGGAGUCUGCAACUCGACUCCAUGAAGUCGGAAUCGCUAGUAAUCGUAGAUCAGAAUGCUACGGUGAAUACGUUCCCGGGUCUUGUACACACCG